CGGGACGUAGCGCAGCCCGGUAGCGCGCUUCCUUGGGGUGGAAGAGGUCGUGAGUUCAAAUCUCGCCGUCCUGA
This 74-nucleotide transfer RNA is filed under the name Acidobacteriota bacterium. RNAcentral describes it as "tRNA-Pro". It matches the Rfam family "tRNA". From Rfam's summary of the family: Transfer RNA (tRNA) molecules are approximately 80 nucleotides in length. Their secondary structure includes four short double-helical elements and three loops (D, anti-codon, and T loops). Further hydrogen bonds mediate the characteristic L-shaped molecular structure. tRNAs have two regions of fundamental functional importance: the anti-codon, which is responsible for specific mRNA codon recognition, and the 3' end, to which the tRNAs corresponding amino acid is attached (by aminoacyl-tRNA synthetases). tRNAs cope with the degeneracy of the genetic code in two manners: having more than one tRNA (with a specific anti-codon) for a particular amino acid; and 'wobble' base-pairing, i.e. permitting non-standard base-pairing at the 3rd anti-codon position. Lineage: Bacteria; Pseudomonadati; Acidobacteriota. The record is from RNAcentral.